This 1908-nucleotide long non-coding RNA is filed under the name Homo sapiens (human). Its description in RNAcentral is "HSALNT0235885". Lineage: Eukaryota; Metazoa; Chordata; Mammalia; Primates; Hominidae. The record is from RNAcentral.
UUGAUGCAACUAAUGCAAUUAUUUGCAUAGCAAUUUAUUAAUUUAUAAUCAGGAUAGUGUUUCAAGGCCAUAAAAUAUCAAUGUAUCCCAUCCAGAAAAGCCCCUUCCCUGUCCUGGAGGACAAAGAAAUCAUUAGCAAGUAGCUUGGUAGACAUGGAGUCCGUCUUGAGGACCAUUUCCCUGGGCCACGGUAAAGUCUGGCGAAGCACCACUGUGCUAAGCAGACUCCUACCAAAUGGAGCAUCUGGCAAUCUCUGCUUUUUUUUUUUUUAACCUCUGCAUUUUUGAACGUCCUUUUUUUAGGGUCUUAAUUGACCAUUCUUCUUUGAUUCACAUCAUCUUUAUGUUGCCCACACUCCAAUUCUCUGCCUACUUACUCAGUUGUAAUCACAAUCCAGUCCUGCCUUCCUCAAUCUCGAUGUAUUUUCAUCCUUUGCGCCUGUUUUUAUGACUCUAUGAUGGAGACUUCUCACAAUCCCUCUCAUUUUUUUUUCACACCUGUAUUUUUCCUCCUCUUUUCAUUUCUGGGUUCCUGCCUCUUCUUUGUUCUUUGGAUAUUCAAUUUUUUUUUUUGAGACGGAGUCUCACUCUGUCACCCCUGCUGGACUGCAGUGGCACUAUCUCGGCUCAUUAUAACAACCUCGGCCUCCCAGGUUCAAACGAUUCUCCUGCCUCAGCCUCCUCAGUAGCCGGGAUUACGGGCGCCUGCCACCACGCCCGGCCAAUUUUUUGUAUUUUUAGUAGAGAUGGUGUUUCACCAUGUUAGCCAGGAUGGUCAUCUCCUGACCUCGUGAUCCGCCUGCCUCGGCCUCCCAAAAUGCUGGGAUUACAGGCGUGACCCACCAUGCCCAGCCUGGAUAUUUAAAUUGUUCUGUGCUCUCCUCCUUUUUUUUCUCUCUGUGAUUCUCUUUGUCAGCUCCUUUGCCUAUAUUUGCAUCUCAGUUGACACCCCUGAUUCUGACUUGUCCUUAUCUUCCUACCAGUCUCUGCCGACCGGUUACUGUCAGCCUGUCUUUAGGGUUUGCGCUGCAGCUGUUUGUCCUUUGUCUUUCUGCCUGCCUCCAAGUCCCCAUAUCUCCUGGUCUCUUCUGUCAGUGAAUCUUCCCACUGACUGCCUCCUCCGCCUUCUGCUUCUCAGCUCCCCGGACUCGUCCCCGCUCUUCUCUGUUCCCACCUCUCCUCUUGCUCUUCUGAUCUCUCUAUCUGCCAGUAUUUCCUCCAUCACUCCUGAGCCUGGGUGUUUCUCCUUGUCACUCACUCUAUUUCACUGUCUAGACUCUCUGUGCCUUUCAGCCUUGGGGUCUCUUCUUGUCGGCCUUCAUUUCUAUUUUUCUGGUCCUUUUUGUUUAUAACCCUUUUAUCAGUUCUGUGACUUUGGUGUCUCUCAGGAUCUAUGACAGCCUUUCUCCAUAUUUCUGCUAGGGCCUGUCUCUUUUGCCCUCCAUCCUUCUUUGCCUCUGUCACCUCUAUGUGAAUAAUCCUUCUCUCUUUCUAUCUAUCACUCAAUCUAUGUAUGUCUGUCUCUGUCAUUCUUCGUAUCUUUCUGUACCUCCGCUUCUUAGCAAGGUUUUUGUUUUGUUUUGUUUUUUUUUGAAGACAAUCUUCCUGUCUCUUGCUUUUGCUCAUGUAGCUUUUCUGUGGAUGGCUAAGGGUUGCCUCUCUCAGUCCAUUGUUUAGUGGAACAGCAGACUUAAUCUGCUGGGCACUUCCCGUCACCUCGAUGUUCUGGGAAGGAAGGGGUCUUGUUCAACAGAAAAAAACGCAGCAGAAGCAGCAGGGAGGAAGAAGACUUUAUGAAUGUAUCUCAGAAAAGUCCCAGCUCUUCCUUUUUUUUUUUUCUUUAGAGACAAGAGUCUCACUCUGUUUGCCCAGGCUGGAGUGCAGUGGCACGACCUCGGCUCACUGCAA